Molecule: ribosomal RNA, 441 nt
Filed under: uncultured Lactobacillus sp.
Lineage: Bacteria; Bacillati; Bacillota; Bacilli; Lactobacillales; Lactobacillaceae
Description: bacterial SSU rRNA
Rfam family: Bacterial small subunit ribosomal RNA
Source: RNAcentral
GACGGGUGAGUAACACGUGGGUAACCUGCCCUUAAGUGGGGGAUAACAUUUGGAAACAGAUGCUAAUACCGCAUAGAUCCAAGAACCGCAUGGUUCUUGGCUGAAAGAUGGCGUAAGUAUCGCUUUUGGAUGGACCCGCGGCGUAUUAACUAGUUGGUGGGGUAACGGCCUACCAAGGUGAUGAUACGUAGCCGAACUGAGAGGUUGAUCGGCCACAUUGGGACUGAGACACGGCCCAAACUCCUACGGGAGGCAGCAGUAGGGAAUCUUCCACAAUGGACGCAAGUCUGAUGGAGCAACGCCGCGUGAGUGAAGAGGGCUUUCGGGUCGUAAAACUCUGUUGUUGGAGAAGAAUGGUCGGCAGAGUAACUGUUGUCGGCGUGACGGUAUCCAACCAGAAAGCCACGGCUAACUACGUGCCAGCAGCCGCGGUAAUACGAU